This 243-nucleotide long non-coding RNA is filed under the name Ricinus communis (castor bean). RNAcentral's name for it is "long non-coding RNA (RCOM_LNC002675)". Lineage: Eukaryota; Viridiplantae; Streptophyta; Magnoliopsida; Malpighiales; Euphorbiaceae. The record is from RNAcentral.
UUCCAACAAAAAGGGUCACCAUCUUCAGAAACCCUAAUUCUUUCAACGAGUUGGAAAGAACAAUUUGUAGUUCUGGCUUUUGGCACUCAUAUUCAUUUUCUGUAUGUAGCAGUAGUAAGUGCAUUAAUUUUGGUUGGUCUGUUUGGGUACAAGAGAAGAGUCACUAUCCAGUUGUUCCUCAUCUCUCUUUCCCAUUAGGUGGAUUGAAUGUGACUUUGGCUAUGAGGAACUCAUGUCUUUACC